Molecule: long non-coding RNA, 2078 nt
Filed under: Rattus norvegicus (Norway rat)
Lineage: Eukaryota; Metazoa; Chordata; Mammalia; Rodentia; Muridae
Description: long non-coding RNA NONRATT032058
Source: RNAcentral
UAAUAAUAAUAAUAAUAAUAACAGUCCCUGUCCUCUCCUCAGAAAUGCUGUAUGCUUUGGUGGGAGACUUCUCAAAAGUCUAUUUCAGUUACCCAAAGUAUUCAUGGAUGAGUACAGACAGCUUUAGACUUGUUCUGAAAUACAAGUCUUCUAAGUUAUCGCGAACAGGACGUCAGCCCAGGCAGCACGUGCCUUAAGAUAACGGCAAACCACGCUGGAUCUAUUCACAAAGGCAAAUUCUGUGUUUGCAACACAGGUUGUUUUGUUUUCCUUAUAAAACCUGUUCUUAGUCCUGCGGGCAAAAGCCGGAAGUAGCAAUUAUAAACUCCUCUGGGGCCCCCGUGGCCAAACUCCCCAGAUCUUUUAGCCCUUGACUGGGUCAAAAGUAUCUGUCACGUGAAAAGCAUUUGGAUGGUCCCUUUCAUCCACUCAACUGGAAAGCUCCCAGCUCACACAGAAGACCACAUCCAAGGAUGAAGGCAGAGGAGCCCUUAAGUGGUGUUUUUGAGCUAAGUAACCAGCCAGCCGCAACACGCUCUACUAUUAACCAAGAGGACCCGCUUUCCCCAAGGGACGGUGAGUCAGGGCUCUAUUUUUGUGGUUCGGCACACGCUGUUAAGGGGCGGCAGAAGGUUGCCCUUUUCCCACCACCUUCAUCCCCGAGAUCCUCUCAGACCUGACAUCAGGCUGUUGGCUACUCGUCAUAAAGCUUCCCUGUCAAAGGGAAUCCAGCGGAUGAGCCAUGAGCGCGCUUACAGUCAGAUAAUAGAUGAAAGGGCCCUCAAGAUAAACGAGGUGCCUACGGAAAACCCGGCAAGGUUGUUUAAAAGAAGAUGGCGAAGGCCGUUAAUUCUCCUCAGGCAGUUUCAAAAGGCGGGGCUGACCCUGUUUAGACACCAACUGUAUACUGUGAGUGAUCUCCUGUUUCUGUCUUUCUGCUGCAGAACAUGAAUUUCAAAAUGUGGGUUUGGUGUGCUCACCUCGGCCUCAGUGAGAAUUCUUCGACCAGUGCUCUGCUCAGACCUACCAUCGUCUCUACUCAGAAACCCUGGUUGUUUCUCGGGUUGCCCAGUAACUCCUCAUGGCCAUUCAACUUUCUGUGCUUUGGACUUACCUGUUGAAUGGAAGCCCCGAAGUCCUCAGGAGGACUGAGUCAGGACUCCACUGAAGUUGUCGUGGGGCCUUCUGAUAAUCACAGCCAACUCCCAAGUCUGAACAGGCUGAUGAGAUCAGCGAGGAGUCUUUGAAUUCUGACACUGAGAAACUGAAACAGGACACGCUGGACUAGGAGAUCUCCCAGUUAAUGGAAGAGGGCAGUGGGUGAACCGGAGGCCCACAUCUCCCUCCUCCAUGAGUACAAUGACGUGAAGGGCAGGAAGUAGCUAAAAGCAAAGAUGCUGUUAAUGUGGCCCUGAGGUGCCAGCACCAAGGAGUUAUAAUUUUGAUCUAGACCUGAAUGACUGAGCAAAGUUUUGGAGAUUUUUAGCCACCACCCACAAAGACAGGUAUAAAGGGACAUGAAAAUCAGAGAGUUCACACAGCACAUUUAUGUGGUUUCCAGAUUUAAAAAAAAGUGGUAGAAGCAGGGUAUUUUUUGGGAGGGGUGAGACUUGUCAGUUCUAAGGUCCCUACAAGUACUUACUUAUGGAUGGAUGUGUGUGGCUGUCCCCUUUGUUAAUGACCACAGAAUCAGUUAAAAAAAGAAAAAGAGAAUUUAACUUUAUACAUGAAACCAGACAAAAGUGUAUUUUUAUAUUUUAACCAUUGAGCAAACAGCACGUUGUCACGUGUACUUGUAAUUUUUUAUGUGCAUGAACUAAGUAUAUAUACAUAUCUGUAUUGCACUCAUAACCAUCCUAGGAUAAUUUUCAUCAAACAUCAUUUGUGUUAGUCAGUUGCUUUUGAAUUCUCAGGUCAGAUGCGGUGACACCUUAUAAUUUUCAAGACUAGGCUUGGAAGGGUUUUAAAUAAAAUAGAGACCAAAUUUGAUCUAUGAAUUUGAGAUGAGAGUCUUUUCUGCCAUGGAAGAGUACAAAGUUGCCCAGUUCUGAGAGGCAAUCGGUGAUGAUGAUGGUGAU